CUUAUUUCUACUUGUAGUUGUAGGCUACUAUUAGUACUUCAUUGAUAACCACAAAUGAAUUAUGCUUCGACAUGUCUUUUUACACCCACCAUGCAAAAAUAUCUUGUUUGUUUUAAGCCCUAGACUUUCUCAUUCUCUUCUCAUCUACAAUACAACCGCUUCACUAAAAAUCUCCUUAACUAAUUAAACUUUCUUGGGCAGAUUUCCCACUGUACUGGGACAAGUUACCUCAACAUGUUACUUUAAUCUAUUACAACUGUACUGCCAACAUCUCCAUACAGACCCUCUUCAAUCUCUUAUAACAGCUACCAUAUCAUCACAAUGAACUUAUUCUGUUUCUCUCUUAUCACUUUGUCUUCUCAGAUGGAACCCACAACCGGAAUGACAAGCCCGGAGCUGUAUGGAUACAUCCACAAUGUAUCACCAUUUAUGAAAACGAGCUGGAUCAACAGAACAUACUUCACUGCCAUUUUGCAAGAAGAAACACAACAACGUGAAAUUAUUGUCUAUGACACCUCCCAGCAUGCCCAUUAUAAAAACAUCAGUAGCAAAAGACAACCUGUCAAAAUCACCAAUCCAAAAAUCGAGCCAUCCAAACAGAGACCCGGUGAGCUAGCCACCUUAAUAAUCGAAAUCACCAAUGUGCAAACCAUCGAAAGCUUGGACUUCGACCAUGAUCCCACUGUUGCUCAUCCCCAAACCACCUUGGCAGAGAUCCUUGCAAGUUCUUCUGAAAAACGCAAGGUCAACAUCACUGUGGAAAUCAAGGCACUGCGCGAGGAGGGGACACAAUGGGUUGAAGCCCGACAGAAAAACCUACCCAUGGCCAGAUAUGCUGUGGGGGACAGUACUGGCAACAUGGACCUUACUAUUUGGGAUAUCCCAAAACUUGAAGUGAACCAGUGGUAUGCCCUAACCAACAUUUCAAUACGCACCUUUAAUAAAAUCUCACUAUCUACAACCCGCAGUACUGAGGUCAGACAGACCGAAAAACCA
Anguilla rostrata (American eel) is the source of this 996-nucleotide long non-coding RNA. RefSeq lists it as uncharacterized. NCBI's taxonomy places the organism in Eukaryota, Metazoa, Chordata, Actinopteri, Anguilliformes, Anguillidae. The transcript is spliced from 3 exons. The record is from RefSeq and is a predicted model, not a curated record.